AUUGAACGCUGGCGGAAUGCUUUACACAUGCAAGUCGAACGGUAGAGGGGGCAACCCCUCGAGAGUGGCGAACGGGUGAGUAAUAUAUCGGAACGUGCCCAGUCGUGGGGGAUAACGUAGCGAAAGUUACGCUAAUACCGCAUACGAUCUAAGGAUGAAAGCGGGGGAUCGCAAGACCUCGCGCGAUUGGAGCGGCCGAUAUCAGAUUAGGUAGUUGGUGGGGUAAAGGCUCAUCAAGCCAACGAUCUGUAGCUGGUAUGAGAGGACGACCAGCCACACUGGAACGGAGACACGGUCCAGACUCCUACGGGAGGCAGCAGUGGGGAAUUUUGGACAAUGGACGCAAGUCUGAUCCAGCCAUUCCGCGUGCAGGAUGAAGGCCCUCGGGUUGUAAACUGCUUUUGUACGGAACGAAAAGGUCUCUCUUAAUACGGGGGGCUCAUGACGGUACCGUAAGAAUAAGCACCGGCUAACUACGUGCCAGCCGCCGCCGUAA
RNAcentral lists this ribosomal RNA (496 nucleotides) under uncultured bacterium. RNAcentral's name for it is "partial 16S ribosomal RNA". It matches the Rfam family "Bacterial small subunit ribosomal RNA", at positions 30 to 523 of the family's 1533-position model. The record is from RNAcentral.